Molecule: ribosomal RNA, 254 nt
Filed under: uncultured bacterium
Lineage: Bacteria
Description: partial small subunit ribosomal RNA
Rfam family: Bacterial small subunit ribosomal RNA
Source: RNAcentral
AGGACGAACGCUGGCGGCGUGCUUAACACAUGCAAGUCGAGCGAGGCCCUUUCCUUCGGGAAAGGUGCCCUAGCGGCGAACGGGUGAGUAACACGUGGGCAAUCUGCCCCUAGCACUGGGAUAACUCCGGGAAACCGGGGCUAAUACCGGAUACGACCUCUGAGGGCAUCCUCCGGAGGUGGAAAGGAUUCUGGCUAGGGAUGAGCCCGCGGCCUAUCAGCUAGUUGGUGGGGUAAUGGCCCACCAAGGCGACG